Molecule: non-coding RNA, 77 nt
Filed under: Marinobacterium stanieri S30
Lineage: Bacteria; Pseudomonadati; Pseudomonadota; Gammaproteobacteria; Oceanospirillales; Oceanospirillaceae
Description: DUF3800-VIII RNA
Rfam family: DUF3800-VIII RNA
About the family: Bacteroidetes, Cyanobacteria, Firmicutes, Planctomycetes (1 example), Proteobacteria, Tenericutes (1 example). Nearby to DUF3800
Source: Rfam by way of RNAcentral
AUGACCCUGCUACCGCGAAGGCUUAAGUUCCACUUAAGGUAUUGCUCCCUUGGGAGAAUAGCGACUAGCGGGGUUUU